This 618-nucleotide long non-coding RNA is filed under the name Struthio camelus australis. Its description in RNAcentral is "lncRNA (ENSSCUG00000012448.1)". The record is from RNAcentral. Lineage: Eukaryota; Metazoa; Chordata; Aves; Struthioniformes; Struthionidae.
UCUUUCAAAUGUUCUGACCUAUCUUUUUUGAACAGCUGUGUUUCAGGUUUCAUCUCUUUCCAUCUCUCCACCAACCUUGUUAAAAUCUAGGUGCAUGGGCCAGAAAGAGAAAUAAAAAACCAAGCACUGUCAGAAGUUCCAAAUCUCCUGCCACGUUUUGCUUCUGCUUGCGCAGUUGAAGAGAAGGAAAGGCAAGGAGCAGCUCAGUGAUAGGGACUCCACGUUCCUUGCUGGGUGAUGGGCUGGUGAAACCUGCAGCACUCUUAGCUGCAAAGCCGUGUCCCCUUGGACAGCACAGGGGAAAGUCCUGGCUCCUGGGACCUCUUCACCUUCUACACCCUAAAGAAGUCACAGGCAUUCCCCCAGGCUUUGAGAGGCCAGCUGCUGCCUCCCCAAGUUUGGAAAAAUUGGAACUCCCUCUGAAUGGAUUUGGACUCCGUAAGCUGAUCCUGCCUUUGCCCAGACUGCUGUUACAAAAUGGAUUAAGGGAUUCUGUUCAUCAUUCUGGUAACCUUCAUCUCCAGUCACUCCAAUCUGAAUUUCUCUUUCCUUGAAUAUGGGUGUGCAGACUAAAGACUUGGAUAAGGUAAGAUAUGAAUCAGGUGUAGUCUUGCCCAU